Non-coding RNA from Astyanax mexicanus (Mexican tetra), 471 nucleotides. The record is from the annotation of a RefSeq genome assembly. Lineage: Eukaryota; Metazoa; Chordata; Actinopteri; Characiformes; Acestrorhamphidae.
CCUACACAACAGACAGUCAUGUUCUACACACUUCUGCUAAUGCUGACCACUGCAGCUUCCUAUGUUCAGUGUGAAAUCUCUCUCACUCAGCCGAGUUCAGUGAUGAUAAAGCCAGGAGGAUCUCUGAGCAUCAGCUGUAAAGUAUCUGGUUAUUCAGUUACUGAUAACAGCUAUGCCACAGGUUGGAUUCGACAGCCUGCAGGAAAAGCUCUGGAGUGGAUAAACUACAUCUGGGGGGGUGGAACUAUUAGACAAAAAGAUUCUCUGAAAAGCAAGUUCAGUAUUUCUAAAGAAUCCUCCAGCAGCUCCGUCACUUUACAAGCUCAGAACAUGCAGCCUGAAGACACAGCUGUGUAUUACUGUGUUCGCUAUAGAGGCACAGAUGUACAAAACAUAGGAGUGCAUGUACAAAAACAUCAGAGUUGAACCACAGUGUCAGAAACAUGAUGCUCUGUGCGCUGGGUUGGUGGU